This is a non-coding RNA of Talaromyces islandicus, 82 nucleotides long. Lineage: Eukaryota; Fungi; Ascomycota; Eurotiomycetes; Eurotiales; Trichocomaceae. The record is from the annotation of a GenBank genome assembly.
GGCAACGUGGCCGAGUUGGUUAUGGGUAAGCUUACCUUGCACAAGAUGGGAAACCUCGCGCGUUCGAAUCGCGUCGUUGUCA